AUACGUAGGGUGCGAGCGUUGUCCGGAAUUACUGGGCGUAAAGAGCUCGUAGGUGGUUUGUCGCGUCGUCUGUGAAAUUCCGGGGCUUAACUCCGGGCGUGCAGGCGAUACGGGCAUAACUUGAGUACUGUAGGGGAGACUGGAAUUCCUGGUGUAGCGGUGAAAUGCGCAGAUAUCAGGAGGAACACCGGUGGCAAAGGCGGGUCUCUGGGCAGUAACUGACGCUGAGGAGCGAAAGCAUGGGUAGCGAACAGGAUUAGAUACCCUGGUAGUCCAUGCCGUAAACGGUGGGCGCUAGGUGUAGGGGUCUUCCACGACUUCUGUGCCGUAGCUAACGCAUUAAGCGCCCCGCCUGGGGAGUACGGCCGCAAGGCUAAAACUCAAAGGAAUUGACGGGG
This 398-nucleotide ribosomal RNA is filed under the name uncultured bacterium. RNAcentral describes it as "partial 16S ribosomal RNA". It matches the Rfam family "Bacterial small subunit ribosomal RNA", at positions 523 to 918 of the family's 1533-position model. The record is from RNAcentral.